GGGCCCGCACAAGCGGUGGAGUAUGUGGUUUAAUUCGAAGAUACGCGCAGAACCUUACCAACACUUGACAUGUUCGUCGCGACUCUGAGAGAUUAGAGUUUUCGGUUCGGCCGGACGAAACACAGGUGCUGCAUGGCUGUCGUCAGCUCGUGUCGUGAGAUGUUGGGUUAAGUCCCGCAACGAGCGCAACCCUCACUUUUAGUUGCCAUCAUUUAGUUGGGCACUCUGAAAGAACUGCCAGUGAUAAGCUGGAGGAAGGUGGGGAUGACGUCAAGUCCUCAUGGCCCUUACGUGUUGGGCUACACACGUGCUACAAUGGUAUCUACAACAGGAAGCAAGACUGCGAGGUCAAGCAAAAUCCUUAAAAGAUACCUCAGUUCGGAUUGCACUCUGCAACUCGAGUGCAUGAAGCUGGAAUUACUAGUAAUCGU
Molecule: ribosomal RNA, 431 nt
Filed under: uncultured bacterium
Lineage: Bacteria
Description: bacterial SSU rRNA
Rfam family: Bacterial small subunit ribosomal RNA
Source: RNAcentral